UGGGGAAUAUUGGACAAUGGGCGAAAGCCUGAUCCAGCCAUGCCGCGUGUGUGAAGAAGGUCUUCGGAUUGUAAAGCACUUUAAGUUGGGAGGAAGGGCAGUAAGUUAAUACCUUGCUGUUUUGACGUUACCAACAGAAUAAGCACCGGCUAACUUCGUGCCAGCAGCCGCGGUAAUACGAAGGGUGCAAGCGUUAAUCGGAAUUACUGGGCGUAAAGCGCGCGUAGGUGGUUUGGUAAGAUGGAUGUGAAAUCCCCGGGCGCAACCUGGGAACUGCAUCCAUAACUGCCUGACUAGAGUACGGUAGAGGGUGGUGGAAUUUCCUGUGUAGCGGUGAAAUGCGUAGAUAUAGGAAGGAACACCAGUGGCGAAGGCGACCACCUGGACUGAUACUGACACUGAGGUGCGAAAGCGUGGGGAGCAAACA
RNAcentral lists this ribosomal RNA (427 nucleotides) under uncultured bacterium. RNAcentral describes it as "partial 16S ribosomal RNA". It matches the Rfam family "Bacterial small subunit ribosomal RNA", at positions 355 to 774 of the family's 1533-position model. The record is from RNAcentral.